RNAcentral lists this long non-coding RNA (272 nucleotides) under Medicago truncatula (barrel medic). RNAcentral's name for it is "lncRNA gene34015". Lineage: Eukaryota; Viridiplantae; Streptophyta; Magnoliopsida; Fabales; Fabaceae. The record is from RNAcentral.
UGCCCUUAUUCAAUACUUUGUGUCCCUUUUGUUUGUUCAUGUGAUCUUUGGACGCUGGUAGCGUCUUAAUUACAUGUUGGAUAAGAUGUCAAACUCAUCAAGCAAAAGUUCUCUUUUCAAAAUUCUAUAAAUCGAGCUCUCACAGCUUUGCAAGGGGUUAUCACCACGCAUCACGUACCAAGAAAGGGAGAAAUAGUGGUCUAUAUGAGAGAGUUACGGCGAAGAAGAAAGAGGAAUUGACUUCGACGUCAAAUCUUAUUUCUUGAGUAAAU